AUUAAAGUGGCAGAAUGGUUUAAGUGCAAAAGGUCUAAGCCCUUUACAUAGAGGUUCAAGUCCUCUCUUUUAGUU
This 75-nucleotide transfer RNA is filed under the name Bathygadus favosus. RNAcentral's name for it is "tRNA-Leu". It matches the Rfam family "tRNA". Rfam says of the family: Transfer RNA (tRNA) molecules are approximately 80 nucleotides in length. Their secondary structure includes four short double-helical elements and three loops (D, anti-codon, and T loops). The record is from RNAcentral. Lineage: Eukaryota; Metazoa; Chordata; Actinopteri; Gadiformes; Macrouridae.